Molecule: non-coding RNA, 1288 nt
Organism: Solanum lycopersicum (tomato)
Lineage: Eukaryota; Viridiplantae; Streptophyta; Magnoliopsida; Solanales; Solanaceae
Source: RefSeq, a predicted model, not a curated record
UAGCUUAACUUGAUUGCAAGUUAUUGUUUCUCCUCUUUAAUUUCAUCUAUUGUUUCUAUUCAUAACAUUGUAUUUCAAUUCUUUUUCUACUCUUUGUUAUCAAAAUGUAGCAUUUCUUCCGCACUACUGUUCUUCCACAGUUGUCCCAUUUUUUACAAAUUAUAUUCCCUUUUCUUCUCUACUUUCAGAUAAAUUUAUAUCUCAAUUUGUUGUCUUCCAAACAAUCUCUUUCAUACUUUUGAUUGGCGUUACAAACUCAGUUGGAAAGGCAUGACAACAACUCAUAGCUGCUUUUCCAUCUCUUGUGAGUGUGGUACGCACCUCAAAUAUUCUCUAAAGAAGAUAGUUGUACAUUGUUAGUCAGAGUAGUAAUCUUGAAAACUUUUACAUUACCAUAAAAACACUUAUACGUAUUCCUAAAUAGUAACUCUAUUUCACAAGAGAUUGUCCGCAACUCAAAGAUAGAAAUAACAAUGAUACAAAAUAGCCUGCGAGAUCUGCAAUAGCCUAUUCAUCAUCCGUACCUUAGAGGGAUCGGUUCAAGUGUUGAUCCAAACCGUAUAUACAGGCUAGCCAGUUGACAUCGCAGAUGUGGUCUUGUUCCUUGGCUACUUGCCGACGGGUGAAGGAUUAUUAUAGGUGAGGGGCUGCAUAUUUGGAAAUUCAGAAGUCAAAUGCGCACUCAUCGAUUUUCAACUAAUUGCAUCGAAGUUGGAUGAAAUGAGGAGGAAAAAAUUACAAAGAAACAACGAGAACAAGGUGAUACAUCAAAUGAAGUAGGAAGACGUCACAUUGGACAUGAAAAUAGUAGAUCAAGAAAUAAAUAGAAUAAAGAUAACAAAUUAUAGUUUAGUCAUGAAGUGGUUUUGAAGAUAUUACGUGGGAGGAGAAGCACUUCAGAGAACGUUGAUCGUGAGUACAAAAGUGUGGAGUGAAAAAGGCGAAUGAUGCAUAAAUAAGCUUACAUGGCCAAACAAAAAUGGAGAAUGGAUAACAUAUAAGAGGAAUGAGAUUCUUUUUGGAGCUAAUGUAUGUUUAAUUAUAGCCGAUGGAAGAAAAAUCGUAUUGUGGAACGACAACUGAAGAGGUCAGAGAGCAGAUUGAAGACUCAUUGAAGCGGUUUGGAUCAGGGAUCUCUAGCCUUUUGUAGGUCUUCUUGAGUUCGAGGAUUUUACACCUAUAAUUCUAGUUUAGUACUUUAGACAUAGCUAAUGGAUGUUGUCCCUAUCGUUUCAUUUCAGACUUUUAUUCAAAGCUUUGUGUUAAGGCCGUUUGGCAAACUAUUAAC